This is a long non-coding RNA of Ictalurus furcatus (blue catfish), 7932 nucleotides long. RefSeq lists it as uncharacterized. The record is from RefSeq and is a predicted model, not a curated record. The transcript is spliced from 10 exons. NCBI's taxonomy places the organism in Eukaryota, Metazoa, Chordata, Actinopteri, Siluriformes, Ictaluridae.
GUAGAAACAGAGCAGGGGACGAUGUGACGUGUGUUUUGGAAUGUUUUCGGGACGGUAGCGUCACGUGUAAAACGUAUAAAACGUAUAAAGUAGCAGGUGAAUAAAUGUUCGGUCGCUGUAAGGAAGCUGCUUCCCGCUAAGUGACUCCUAGUGUCUAAGCUGUGAUUGGUGGAUCGCCAUGUCAAUCAUCUGCAGAGCUUUAUCUGUCACCCGCUCCUCCGAUUCCCAUGGCAAUGGUGAGCUGAGCGGGAAAUCCCAGUCACUAUCAGCCCUGAGGCGACUUCGAAAGUCUUUUAUUUUUAACAUAAAAUGUACCAGCAGUUGAAAAGAAAGCCAAUAAUGAGGUAUGAAAUGUGAAAAUGCCCGUAUUAAUUUUAAUAAUCCGGGUACAUAUUUUAAAAAGUAAACUACUCGGGUUAAUCAGGUCAGUGUGUGCUGAGGGACGCGGAGGCUAGUUUAGGUAGCUAAGUUAGCUAACCGUCUGUUAGCUUAGCUGGUGAUGGAAAGUCUUCUUUCAGCUCUUCUGUCUUUCAUGAGCAGGUUAGUAACACAUUUAUUCACACACAUAAGAAUCUGUUAACGACAGAACUGUGGACUAUGUAUAAACCAUGUAUAAACACUUCAUGUACUGCACACAUCCACAGAAACACAACAUUAAUCACUUGAAAUCUUUUUAUUUAUUUUUAUUACUGCACUUAAGCCUCUUUUUUCACUGCUUCACAACAUUGCCUGAGGAAAAUGAAAUGGAAAAAAGAAUCUUGUAAACAAUAAAUAAAUAAACAGUAAAAAAAAAAAAAGCAUUCCAUUAUAAAAAUGCAAAAAAAAUAAAAUAAAAAAUAACUGGUUAAAGGAAGAAUCCAUUAAAUCCAUGUACAGGAUCUGAAUAUGAACACGCUAAUACAGCAACACAGUAAAAAAACAAACAAACAAAAAAAAAAACCUAAAACUCCACAGCAAUAUGUAAACAAAUGAAAACUGCUGUUCCAGGGGUCCAAGCACUUUGGCCAGCAGGUGGAAAUGUCCUGAAUGUCAGUGUCAAUGAGAUGUGACGGGCAACUGGCUUUUUUUUUUUUUUUUACCCCACAAAAUAUUGAACAACUUGGAAACGACCUGUGGCCAUUUGGGGGAAAAUUGAUGGAACAAUUUUGGUGGAAAAAAUGCAAAUUGUCAAGGAUCAACUCGGCUCAAACAUCUGUCACUUAUUAAAUUUAACUGUACAGUGCAUAUUAGUAGAGGAAACAAAAUUACAACUCCUAAAACACACACACACACACACACACACACACACACACACACAGAGCCUCGUCACCUUGUCACUUUUGCUUGGACCCCCUUUAAAUCUAGGAGAUAAAUAAAGUGCAUCUUUACAGUGGUUUUUAAUCCAUAACAACAAAGUGGAAAACAAUGCACGCCUACAUGAAUCUAGACCCAGAGACAUUCAAACCGUUCUCUCUCUCUCACACACACAUAUACACACACAGAACAUCAUCUACGACAGGAGUUCAUUACCACAGAGCAGAGCAGAACACGCAGUACCUUAGCAACACCUCUUGGAAGUUACAGCUCUGACACGUGGAACAAGCCGUUAACAUCGCAGUGGUUUUUCCUCAACUGUUAUGGAUAGGAUUCUAAUGUGCGUUGGAUAAAAACAUCUGCCAAAAAUAUAAAUGUAAAAUAUUAAAGGGACCAUUUGUAACUUUUCGAGCACUCUGAUGUUUGUGAAUAUAAUCACCAACGAGCUUUAUCUGCUGAACCUACAGUAGUGUGACUUUUUUGGAAAAGAGGAGGAGCUGAGCAGGUCUGUUCUACCUGGAGGGUGGGACUGAUUUCAGGGCCAGAAAAAUGUGAACAGAAGUCUAGUGAACUCCAUUGUGCCUCAGUUGGUCUCACAUGUUUUGCAGGAUUAAAUGAUUAAAAGCUUUGUCCAUAAGGGGGCAGGUUAGAGCCGAACUAUACCUCCGGAGCACUUAAGCACAUCGUAAUCGUGUCGUUGCAUUUUGCACAAGACUGCACUGUAAAACAACCACAAACGUGACAGCACAACGUGACAUGGAAACACACUUCAUCUAGUGACACGAUGGAUUCCGGAUUUCAACUAAGAUGCAGGGCGAUACUCAGUCCCCAGAGAGCCAAAAUAUGUGUCGUCAAGGAAAUGGAUCAGUAGCAAGCUGGGAAUGUAGGACCAAUCAGGUGUUUACGAGUAGAGAUGAUUGACAGGUUCUGCCACCUAUCAGUGUCGAGAGCAUUUGAUAUGACAUCACAGACAUGCUGUUGCUAUAGAGACCGGGCAGUUAUGACAAUCGGAUGUGUACUAUGUUCACUAGCAUCAGGUCUUUGCGUAGUAUUAGUAUUAUUAUUUUUUUUUUACAUAUCAUAUUCUCUGUUAAUUUCUUUUCUAUUCACAAUAUCUAACAUGCAGCUACACAGACACAGCGCUUUUUAUGCUGUACACUAAUCUGGUGUUACAUUUACAUUAAAGCUGCAGUAUAUAACUUCUUUUUAAUAAAGAUAAUUGCAAUAUUGUGAUACUUUGUAGCUAAAUUUGCUAUUCAGCUAACAUUUGUCAAACUGACGUCACAUGAUCAAAUGUGCGACUAACUGACUAAAUCUACCUUAACCCUUAUUGAACUUGGCAAAAUCCAGACAUUGCCCUGAAAAGCCUAAAACAGUAAAUGAGUUAUUCUGACUCAAAGGUCAAAGGUCAUCAAGGCUUGACACCACGACCCUGGGCAUUACUUUGAUAUUAAUUGAAUGUAAACAGACAUGUUACUUGCUACUACCAAGGUUACAAAAUGUUUUUCUGUGAAUCCUUAAAAGUUACAUACUGCAUCUUUAAAAACCGUCUAGACACACACGCAUCUAACAACAACAGACUGAGAGCACCUUUUUUGUAUUGGAUAAGUGUUGAUUUGGUGGUUGUGGAAGAAUUGGGUCAUCGCUUAAGUAUCUCUUACUUCACAUCUCUCUCCAAACAUCACAAGCAGGAAGUUCAGGAAUGCUUGUUAGAGCUCUUCGAUUUGGAGGAUCCUGGUCCAGGCCACGUUCCCGUAGCUAUGCGCCAGGCCCCAGAUGAUGCCUCGGAUUUGCCCAACGUCCCAGCCCGCUUGUCCUCGCUCAUUUUGGUGCUCGAGUCCUUCCCUUUCCCCCCGUCCUGUGAUCCCAACUUCAUGGGCCCGAGCACGGUUUUGGCCACGCUGGUGAGCUGAGUGACGAAGCUCGAGCGGUCACCGGGGGAGAUUGUGCGGGAUUUUCCAGUGCUGGGAGAUGGAGUGGAAGGAGACGGGGAAGCCGGGCUUUCCUCCAAAACCUCCAAGUGAGAGCGCUCGUCUCGGAGGGUUCGGAUCGAACCGGAAUGGACCGAAUUCUUCUCCUCUUUGGAUUUCAUUUGGAGUACACCUGCGUCCGUCACUGGAGGUGCUGGAGCUUUAGCCUUGCACUUGCCACCUCCGCUCCCGACUUCCACUCUGACCUCUACUGUUUGGGGGGUUUUCACACACUUGCCCAAUUCCACGAGCCCAGAUUUAGUUUUCGAGUCAUUCUCCCAUGCUGCUUUUCCUUUUUCUCGCUCUUUUCCACCCUCAGCCUGCCAGUCUGGUGUUUUUGGCACAACAGUGUCUAUGCUCAGUAAUGGCAUCUUUCCUCCAGGUUUUUCUUUCACAUCGGAGGUUGAAGCCUGCAUAGCCGGGCUCUUUGACGCAAAUUUGUCUUGCUUUGCCGUAGUUAUGGCUUUGACGGAAUCGUGCGUUUGAGAAGAACUUGUUGUUCCUGUUACUUCAGACGGUUUGUCCUUCUUGCUUAGUGUCGAGUCAGGAACGGGAGGCGAGUCCUGCUUGUUUGUCAUCUGGAGCGUGUCUGAGAGUGUGUUCUCACCUUCGAUCUCCAGCAGGCUUUGCAGCAUGCGGUAUUCCUCCACGCCAUGUUUCCUCAGGCCACCUUUUUUCUCCGCUGUCGAUGGAAAGGAGGCAAACAAUGGGGGAGAGGGCGGAGCUGGCUUCUCGGUCGACUGCACCCGUGUGAGGAGAGGUGAGCGGGGCCGUGUUAUUGGCGGCGAGGAGUGCAGCUUGGCGGGGAAAGCGGGUGUGGCACUGGGUGUGCUCGGUGAGGGAGUGUGUGCCAGUGGGGAGAGAGGGACGCUCCCGGCUGAUUUACAGCGAGACGAGCGGAACUGCCGCUGCAGUUUAGGGGACAGGCCGUGCAGAGAGCUUGGGCGCAUGUGAUGAGACGUAGCUGGAGAGUUCGGAGUGGAGGACGCCGGGGAGCUGCUCUGGGACGACAUGCCUGAGGAAAGAGAGACACACAGAGAGAGACAGGGGAGAGGGGGAGGAGAAAGAGAGAGGGUCUGGUUAAGGACUGGGUUUCAGUCUUCCAGGUCAUUUUGAACAUCUAGCAGUCCAGUAGUAGUACACUAGAUUAUAGUAGGAGUCACUGACCGAGGUGGGCGGAGUCAGGGGGUGAGCGGGCAUACAGGCCAUGAGUGGGAGAGCCUGGAAGACUGUCACCGGACGACAGCGAGCGAUUCAGAGAUGAAAGACUGCGGCUGGUGUGGAGCAGGUUCGACUGCUUAGUGAUCUUACGGAGCAAACAGCUUCGCUUCUUGCUGUACGAGAGAGAGAGAUAGGGGAUUAGGAUGGGAAAGAGAAAAAAAGAAGGGUGCAUGUCACCUGUCCUGUCCCUCCUUGGUGAUGGAUUUCCUGUUGCGUCGUGCCAUCUUGGCCCUGGAGCUGGGCUUUCGCGCCGGUCCGAUCUUAAUGGACGUGUUCUCGAACGGAGUCGUGGUCACGGUCACUUUAUUCCCACUCUGAGCACAAAACAGAGUGUUCUUAAAAUGACUGCUCUAUACAAAUCAUUCAGAAACAUGAUGAAGCAGAUGUCCCUUUCAGGCCCUUGUACCUUCAGAAUCAGCUCCACCACUUCUGUAUGAACCAGCCCGUGCACAGACUCUCCGUUCACGUGUGUGAUGAGGUCACCGGCACACAGACCUGCUUCCUGGGCGGGGCCUCCACACUCCACGUGCUGUGAUCGGAUGGUAGAAACAGUAAAUGAAUCGAACUUAUUUAAGAGGCAACGCAAGGUGUGUUGGUGUUUCAGUGUGUGUGAGGCUCUCUUACCCAGACCAUGUGGUGGACACUGUAGACGUUGGUGUCCCCCAUGUAGACUCGGAUGGCGCGCAGCGUGAAGCCGUACCUCUUCCCCGAGCGCUGGAUGGUGAUGGGAGAGCGCAGAGUGCUGACGGAUGGAGAGUAGUCCCGGCUGGGGGACGAGUCGCGGGACGACGGGUUGGAUGAUAUGGAGCGGGGAGACAUGGGGCUGGCCAAUGGGGACGUCCCAUGCUGCUCCACUGCAGAAAACAAAAAGCUUAAAUCACAUAAAUAUAACAGAAGUAAGUACAUAAAUAAGAAUAUAUAGAGAAAUAAAUAUAAAUAGGGAAAGGCAGAAAUAUAAAUGAAAUAAGGAAGUAAAGAAAGAUACAGAUAUAAAAUAAACAUGAAAAAUAGUAAAGACAGAACAAAGAAAGAAAAAAUAGGAAAAAUAAAAAUAAAUAAAGAAACACAUAUUAAAGAAGGAAAUAAUGAAGAAGACAAGGUAAUAGUGGUGAAAUGGUGUGUAGUAAUGAGUGGUUAGCGCCCCCUGCUGGUACCUGCGGGUAUAAUGACGGAUAAGGCUGAGGCAGAGGCUGACUUUAUGACCUUGGUGCCCGAGCGAGUCUGAGUGUGUUUCUCUCCAUCAGUAGAGAGGUGUUGAUGUCGCGCUCGCCGCAGAACCACGUCACUCGGGGCCCUGGGUCCAAACGGUGCUGACGUCACAGCUGCGUCUGCAGGCUUCAGGAGUUUAUCUGUAGAAACGUUCAGGUGUACAGAAGGAAGGGGAAACUGCUCUGUGCGAAGCACCACCCAGUGUGUACAUCAUGCUUGUUUAUUGUUUCCAUGGCGAUACUGACAUUUUGAUUAAAACCACUGGGAAGCUUCACACACCUAAUCCAUGUGCCGCCGGUGCCGCAGUGGAGGAUUCGGCGGCGCCCACACCUGAGCCAGAUGCCAUCGUUGCGCCCUCUAGCGACGUCCCUCUGGUUUUGACCGGCGCGUGGCGAAUGUGUGUGUCCGUGUCCGUCUCUAGAGGAGAAGAGACGCGGUGUGUGUCCAUGAGAGCAGAAAAACGGCGGCGGACACCAGGGGGACUGGAGUCGGACUCGGUGAAGGAGUACUCUGAGCAGGACAGGCGCUUCCUACACACACACAGCACGCAAUGCCCUCAGUCACCAAGAGAAUGAUUAUGAUGGAUCAUUUGCAUGUAUUUUAAACGCUCCACUCACAUCUCAGGAGAGCCAGUCCUCCAUGUUUUGUCUCUCAGAGUGAAGCUGCCCAGGCUCUCCCUCUUUGCCCGGUCCUCCCGAUGACCUCUCGGCUCCCGGCGGGUCACCACAGGCUUGUGAUCCAGCUGGGAUAGGUGCUCCAUGCUGCUGUACACCUACACACACACACACACACACACACACACACAAGGCUGAGUGUGAAUAAACACUACACGUAAUCCUUAUCAACUUAUAAUAUAGAAAUUAGUAAGUAGAACAAGUCUUAUGGUCAUAGACAGGAAGCGAAGGAAGGAAGAGUGUGAGGGAGGAGACGGAGGAAGAGAUAGACAAUUAGAAGUACAGAUAGAACGAUGAAAAGGAGGUGUAACCUUGCUGAAGCGAGGGGAGCAGGAGGAGAAACGAUGGAUCUCGACGGGCUCGUCGUCGUUGGUGUCGUCUUCAUCAAACGAGUGAAUGUGAUGCGACAGGUGUCGAAGGGUGAGGUAUAUUUACUGUAUUAGGCAGUAAGUGAACGGUCAGUGUUGGAAGCGGGAAAAAUGGGCAAGCGUAAGGAACUGAGAGACUUUAACAAGGGCCAAAUUGUGACGGUUAGACGACUGGGUCAGAGCUUCUCCAAAAUGGCAGGUCUUGUGAGGUGUUCCUGGUAUUCCUGGUUAGAACUUACCAAAAGUGCUCCAAGGAAGGACAAUCAGUGAACUGGCGACAGGGUCAUGGGCACCAAAGACUCAUUGAUACACGUGGGGAGUGAAGGCUAGCACGUCUGGUCCGAUCCCACAGAAGAGCUACUGUAGUACAAAUUGUUGAAAAAGUUAAUGCUGGCUCUGAUAGACAGGAGACAGAAGACAGAGCAUCACAGCUUACUGGGUAUGGAGCUGCAUAGCUGCAGACCGAUCAGAGUGCCCAUGCUGACCCCUGUCCACCGCCAAAAGCACAUACAAUGGGCAUGUGGGCAUCAGAACUGGACCAUGGAGCAAUGGAAGAAGGUGGCCUGGUCUGAUGAAUCAUGUUUUUACGUGGACAGCCAUGUGCAUACCACCUACCUAAGCACUGUUGCAGACCAAGUACACGCCUUCAUGGCAAUGCUAUUCCCUAAUAGCAGUGGCCUCUUUCAGUAGGAUAAUGCCCCUGACACACUGCAAAAAGCGUUCAGGAACGAUUUGAGGAACAUGACAAAGAGUUCACGAUGUUGACUCGGCCUCCAAAAUUCCCCAGAUCUCAGUCCGAUCGAGCGUCUGUGGGAUGUUCUGGACAAACAAGUCCGAUCCAUGGAGGCCCCACCUCACGAUUUAAAGGAUCUGCUGUCAACGUCUUGGUGCCAGAAACCACAGCACACAUUCAGUAGGUCUUGUGUAGUCCAUGCCUUGAUGGCUCAGAGCUGUUUUGGUGGCACAAGGGGACUUACACAAUAUUAGGCAGGUGGUUUUAAUGUUAUGGCUGAUCGAUGCGUAUAGUAAAUAGGAAGCCAUGUGGGAUUUGACCUUAAAAAAUAAAUGACUGUGGGUGAAUAAAUACCAUUUGUGGUUUAUGUGAAAUGAACUUAAAUGUACACACAUACUGACCUUUUAAAUAAAUAACACACACACACAUGGUCAGUGUACUCACUGUCGAAGUAGCUGGUGUCC